GAAGAAUUAAAUUGUUGAACCCUGCAGAUUUCAUCACAAUGGAAUAAGAAUGCUCUGUGGGUUAGAAGUUCACAGCCUGGGCUGAACAGCACUGAUCCCUGCACCUCAAGGCAGCCCUGUUAGGCUGGGGAGCAGAGGGAGCUGUGGCUUGGGGUGCCCCUCGGAGGUCCCAGGAGCGUGUGCUGUGGGGCCCAGGAGAAAGCUGGCUUUUUGGUGGUGGGCAAAGAUUGGUCUAGCCCCAGCUGAUAAGAGGGGCUACAUACUCCCUUCUCCUUAAUCAGGCUUAGAAGCAGCUGGGUGACCCUCCUGUUAGCAUGUUUUGUCAAUAGCACCCAACUCAGAUUACUUGGGAGCUUUUCUGAAACUUCAAGAAACAAUUGCUAUUCAGUUAGACUUGAUCCAGCCUCCUUCUUCCCGCACGUGUAGAUCCCUUCCGAACACUCCCGUUUGCCCCACCCCCUCUCCAAGGUGGACCCUUAAAGGCAUCUCUGCCUUUGUUGCCUCUGGUGUAAAGCUAUGUUUGGAGGCAUCAAACCCUGAGUGGGCUUGUCUUUUUCUUGCCAAAUGAAAAUUCUAACUUAAAGCAAGUUCAUUGAUUUUUUACUAGAGAUUUUGCAAAAAAAUCUGAUUCUCACUUUAAAAUGAAGGAGGAUUCAAGAAGUUAGCCUAAUUAAGAAAAGUUUAGAUGAAGUGCUUUUAAACAUAAUGGUAGAGGGAUAAGGAGGAGCUAUGGUAUAGGAAAGCUUUUUUGCAAUGAAAACAAACAGAAAAAUUUUGUAAUGAAGAGCGGUAGAAAAAAAAAAAACGAAAAACAAGUUCUGAAACCCACCCUUGAUUGUUGCCCUACCAUGGAAUGGAGUCAUGGAUGCUGCAAAUUUUGAACAAUUUCUUCAGAAAAGGAUCAAGUUAUUUGAAAAGCUGCUGAUCUCGGUUUAUUCCUAGGUCAUUGACACAGAGAAGAAAUAAGAAGAAAAGGCAGGGUAGAAUUCUAAAAAAGAAAAGGCCGGACUGAGUAGGCUGGACUGUCAGCGCAGGAGAAUGACCCUAUAAAGGACUUCAGCCGUAUCUUCUUCCCUUCUUCCCCUCUGAGACAACGACCCACGGAUCAUCUUGGGAAUUAGAGGAGGGAAGAAAGGAAAACCCACCUUAGGCAACAGAAUUUCACUGCAGCAAGAGGAAGUUGUGAGGGAAAAGUCAAAGCCCAAGCGAAAAUCUGAAGUAUGGCUUAGAGAAGCCACAAAUACGUUUCUUAUGGAGAAUCAGACAAGGGGAAAGCAAAGAAGACAGAAUAUUUUCUUGAACUUUUCCAAAGAGAAGUUUUUUUUCCUGUGAAGCUAGUAAACAUCUCUUUAAAGAAUGUGUGUGGUCACACAAGUUGAAGGACAGCAAAUUACCUCCCUGCCCCCAGAUGGUUUUAAAUGGUAGCAGACAGGAGGAGGAGUUAGGGCUCCCCUCCCACACCACAGGCCUCCCUGGCUCCAGGGCUGCUCUUCUUCUGCCGCCAGCUCUGGAAGGGUGAGGGCUGCUAUUCAGACCCAGGGAAUGCCUGCGGGCUGACUGACAGGCCCUCAAGAAGGAGCGGUCUGUAUUUCUCUAAGUGCUGGAGCUACCCCAUCUCCCUGUAAUGGCUCUGACCGGCUCAGAAAUACUAAAGCAACAGGCAUGGGGGUUCCUGGCAUACAAUAGACCACAAGUGAGCAGAGAGAGUGAAAACAAAUCCAGUGACAGGAGAGAAGAAAAUGGUCUCUUUUCCCAGAAACACAAGAAAAGAACACAGGAAGCCCUGCUCUGUGCCCUCAGCCCCCAGGAAAAUAUUGGUGUCGUGGGACUUUGGAGGUUGUAGGGCCCAAGUAGAGAUCUAAUUUUUCCUUAUGCCUUGAGCCAAGGUAAUAAGUAAAUAAGUUUAUCCUGUUUGUAGUGAAAGUGUCUGGUUGGGUUCAUUCAGACAGGGAAUACUAGACCAACAUUGAAAGUCAUGGGAACGUUGGGGAACGUUCACAAGACAUCUUUAACUUAAAAUAGGUUCACAGUACAUUGUUAACAUAAAUAAAAUGGUAUAUUGAGUAGGAUCCCAAUUUUGAAAGACAAAAUAAAGAACUCUCAAUCUGCCAAGUGAAAAGACCGGAAUGCCAGAUACAAAAUGUUAAAUGUUUUCCUCGGUGAUGGGAUUAUUUUCUUCUUUGUACUUUUCUGUGUUUUCUGAUUUUUUUC
RNAcentral lists this long non-coding RNA (2211 nucleotides) under Equus caballus (horse). RNAcentral's name for it is "lncRNA (ENSECAG00000057786.1)". Lineage: Eukaryota; Metazoa; Chordata; Mammalia; Perissodactyla; Equidae. The record is from RNAcentral.